UCCCCGGUAGCUCAAUUGGUGGAGCGCCGGACUGUUAAUCCGUAGGUUGUUGGUUCGAGUCCAACCCGGGGAGCCA
RNAcentral lists this transfer RNA (76 nucleotides) under Acidobacteriota bacterium. RNAcentral describes it as "Acidobacteria bacterium tRNA-Asn". It matches the Rfam family "tRNA". From Rfam's summary of the family: Transfer RNA (tRNA) molecules are approximately 80 nucleotides in length. Their secondary structure includes four short double-helical elements and three loops (D, anti-codon, and T loops). Lineage: Bacteria; Pseudomonadati; Acidobacteriota. The record is from RNAcentral. RNAcentral also lists the same sequence under 1 other name.